CUAAGAAGCACAUUGGGGAGGAAAGGG
Molecule: unclassified non-coding RNA, 27 nt
Filed under: Mus musculus (house mouse)
Lineage: Eukaryota; Metazoa; Chordata; Mammalia; Rodentia; Muridae
Description: oocyte_clustered_small_RNA6999
Source: RNAcentral